UACGUAGGGGGCAAGCGUUGUCCGGAUUUAUUGGGCGUAAAGAGCGUGUAGGCGGUUUGGUAGGUCCGCUGUGAAAACUCGAGGCUCAACCUCGAGACGCCGGUGGAAACCAUCAGACUAGAGUCCGGAAGAGGAGAGUGGAAUUCCUGGUGUAGCGGUGAAAUGCGCAGAUAUCGGGAGGAACACCUGUGGCGAAAGCGGCUCACUGGACCACAACUGACGCUGAGGCGGCGAAAGCUAGGGGAGCAAACAGG
RNAcentral lists this ribosomal RNA (254 nucleotides) under uncultured bacterium. RNAcentral describes it as "partial 16S ribosomal RNA". It matches the Rfam family "Bacterial small subunit ribosomal RNA", at positions 524 to 776 of the family's 1533-position model. The record is from RNAcentral.